GCUCCCUUAGCUCAGGUGGUCAGAGCGUUGGUCUUAUGAGCCGAAGGUCGCGAGUUCGAACCUCGCUAGGAGUA
Transfer RNA from Selaginella moellendorffii, 74 nucleotides. It matches the Rfam family "tRNA". Rfam says of the family: Transfer RNA (tRNA) molecules are approximately 80 nucleotides in length. Their secondary structure includes four short double-helical elements and three loops (D, anti-codon, and T loops). Further hydrogen bonds mediate the characteristic L-shaped molecular structure. tRNAs have two regions of fundamental functional importance: the anti-codon, which is responsible for specific mRNA codon recognition, and the 3' end, to which the tRNAs corresponding amino acid is attached (by aminoacyl-tRNA synthetases). tRNAs cope with the degeneracy of the genetic code in two manners: having more than one tRNA (with a specific anti-codon) for a particular amino acid; and 'wobble' base-pairing, i.e. permitting non-standard base-pairing at the 3rd anti-codon position. The record is from Rfam. Lineage: Eukaryota; Viridiplantae; Streptophyta; Lycopodiopsida; Selaginellales; Selaginellaceae.